RNAcentral lists this long non-coding RNA (563 nucleotides) under Glycine max (soybean). RNAcentral describes it as "long non-coding RNA (GMAX_LNC001654)". The record is from RNAcentral. Lineage: Eukaryota; Viridiplantae; Streptophyta; Magnoliopsida; Fabales; Fabaceae.
UAUUCAGGCAGAAACUCCCAAGAGAUACUAAAAGGCAUAGUAGGGGUACACUACCAAGGAAUAUAAGUGAUAAUCUAGUGAAAUCUUAAAACAUAAAUCACUGGCAAGGACACAUGCAUUAUCAAAACAUAGGACUCCGACAUGUAAUUUCAAAUAAACAAUAAUGCUAUACAUACAUUAAAAUCGUUAGGCUUAACCCUGUGUCUUUUUGUGGGCCGCCCAAUUUUACGAAGCCCAUUGAUCAAGGUUCGACUUCCACAAGCAUCCAUCCUUAUGCGUGCUGUCAUCUUGUGAAGAAAAUAAAGUGCUUUCCUAGUCUCGUCUUUCGUCAAGAUCCAUUCCGAGUAUUCGUCAAGAUCGAUACUCAAAUCAAUGUAACUAUAAAGAAGGAAUGCAAAUUACAAGGGAAUUAAGAAAGAGAAGAACAUUGUUGGGUUCAGUUCAACAUCUGUGGUACGGUCCUACGUACGACAGGACAGCAAACUCACCUCCUCAGGACACCAAGCGUCUUUAGGCUCCACACUUAUUUGUCUUUUUAAUUAAAAGAGAAAGAAAAUAUAACU